UCCACAGUAGCUCAGUGGUAGAGCUAUCGGCUGUUAACCGAUCGGUCGUAGGUUCGAGUCCUACCUGUGGAGCUA
This 75-nucleotide transfer RNA is filed under the name Staphylococcus aureus. RNAcentral describes it as "tRNA-Asn". It matches the Rfam family "tRNA". From Rfam's summary of the family: Transfer RNA (tRNA) molecules are approximately 80 nucleotides in length. Their secondary structure includes four short double-helical elements and three loops (D, anti-codon, and T loops). Further hydrogen bonds mediate the characteristic L-shaped molecular structure. tRNAs have two regions of fundamental functional importance: the anti-codon, which is responsible for specific mRNA codon recognition, and the 3' end, to which the tRNAs corresponding amino acid is attached (by aminoacyl-tRNA synthetases). tRNAs cope with the degeneracy of the genetic code in two manners: having more than one tRNA (with a specific anti-codon) for a particular amino acid; and 'wobble' base-pairing, i.e. permitting non-standard base-pairing at the 3rd anti-codon position. Lineage: Bacteria; Bacillati; Bacillota; Bacilli; Caryophanales; Staphylococcaceae. The record is from RNAcentral.